This 70-nucleotide transfer RNA is filed under the name Felis catus (domestic cat). It matches the Rfam family "tRNA". From Rfam's summary of the family: Transfer RNA (tRNA) molecules are approximately 80 nucleotides in length. Lineage: Eukaryota; Metazoa; Chordata; Mammalia; Carnivora; Felidae. The record is from Rfam by way of RNAcentral.
GCCUGGGUGGCUGAGUCGGUUAAGCGUCUGACUUCGCCUCAGGUCACGGGUUCGAGCCCCGUGUUGGGCU